Molecule: long non-coding RNA, 2816 nt
Filed under: Calidris pugnax (ruff)
Lineage: Eukaryota; Metazoa; Chordata; Aves; Charadriiformes; Scolopacidae
Description: lncRNA (ENSCPUG00000008243.1)
Source: RNAcentral
UGUUGUGGUUUUUUUCUUUGUUUUUUUUUUUUUUUCUGUGAUUGGACUCGAUGAUCUCAAAGGUCCCUUCCAACCACGAUUCUGUUAAAAUCUGAUUUCUUUUUCCAGCCCGCACGCUUCCUCCCUGCUACUCCGCCGACCUGCGCCCGGCCUCGGAGAGACUCGUCUCGGCCGUGGGCUGCACCGUGCUCCUCACCGUGCCGCCUCCCAGGGCCAGCCAAGGUGUCUUCUGGGAGUACAAAACCGGCCCUCAGGAAGGGGUCAUCCUCAGCUACGCCUUCGACAGAGCCCCCAACACCUCUCGCCCCUACGAGAACCGCACCCGGUUCAACGAGACCGACUUCUCGCUGCAGAUGGUGCUGCAGCAGGGGGACGGCCGGCUCUACCGCUUCAGGUCCGAGUCCGAGGCCACGGGCUGGUUCCAGCUCCAUGUUGUUGGUGAGUGAUGGGAUGGCGAAGCCUCUGGAAUCGCUGUGGAGGAGGGUCCUCUGGGUCUGGCACCCGGGGAGCCGUGGGUUUUGAUGCUGACAGUCGCUCCGUCUCUCCCAGAACCCCUGUCCGAGCCAGAAAUCGUGGGCAACUCCUCAGUGAAGGCAGGAGCCAACACCAAACUGGUUUGCAACGUCCUGGAAGGGAAGGCAGACUUGUACUGGUGGAAGAAAAAUGGGGAGCUGCUGCUGGGAAGCGACCACAUCCAGUUUGUGGACAACAGCACCCUGUGCAUCCUGAAGGCCUCCAUGAACGACAGCGGGUACUACGCCUGCGUGGUGCGCAACCAAGUCAGCCAGAACGAGACCUCCUUCCUGCUCCACGUCCAGCAUGCUGCCAACGUGCUGUUGCCCGUGAUCCUGGCGUGCGUGGUGGUGGGCUCGCUCGCAGGUGUCUUGGUCUGGUGCAGAAGGGACCGCCCGUGUCGCAACAUCUGUAGGUAAGAUGCUUCCAGCCCCUCUCCUGGUGGUGGCCCUGCUCCUCCAGCUGUGGCUACCAGCCAGAACUUAUCGUUGGAUGGGUCUUUGCUAGACAAGUGGGAGGGCUUGGGGUCCUUUGCCAGCCCCUGUAAGAGGCAGCUGAGGGGUUGCUCUGCCCGCUCCGGGGGCUUAUAGGAUUUGUUGUCCCCCCCCAACAGUCCCCACUGGGAUUUGUUCUUCUUGCAGGUAGAGCUUGACUGGCUGUGCCCUUCCUGCCUUCCCCCGAUGGUGGUGGAUGCUGCCUGGGGAGCGCUGGACCCCUGAUGCCAUCACAACCUCUUCUGGGCUCACCACUGAACUGCUCCAGCUGCCAAAGCCAACAACUAUUUGUAAAACACCGUCCAGAACUAUUUCUUUGUGGUCCUGCUCUUCCCCAGGGCCCCUUCCACGUCCCUGGGGGAGAGGUGGGCACGGCCAUGCCUGGAGACCCUGCUGCUGCUGUCCUCCAGACCUCCCUACCUCUCCUGCCUUCCUCCGGGGCGGGCCAAGAGCCUGUGGAUGGGCUGAGGGCUCUGGAAGGAGCCACCACCAUCCCCUCUGGACAAACACAUGGUCCUGGGGCUGCUGGGGGGCGUGCCGUGGUGCCAGCCCCUGUGUCCCCAGGGCUUGAGCCCCUCACCAUGGCCUGGGACUUGCCAGGGUGGCUCGGGGGCUGAGACCGUGGGCGUUCUGCUGGGUUUGGCCCUUGGAGGGAGGAAAAAGGGCAGGAUUUUGCUGUCGUGUGCCCUGGGGAGGGUGGGAGACGAGCGGGGCCGGUGGAAGGCGGCAGGGGAGGGGGGAGCAGCAACGUAGGUUUGUUUUAGGAAGGAAACCCCAAAGGAACCCCCGUGGCUGCGUUACAGCAGCACCAGAGCCUGGCGUGGGAGACCUAGGGAUGCUGCCGAGCCCAUCUCCUCUGUCCUCCAGCCUUGGGCUCCGAUGGGAUUUGGGGACAUCACUCCUCUCCUGUGUGUGCCAAUAGAAGCUUGUCCUUCCCCUCUGCCACUCCUGAGGUGAUGGUAGACUUGGUCUGCUUUGAUACGGCCAGGGCAGCCCCAACGCCAGCCCCUGGGCCCAUUACCUCCCCUCCCCUGCUGCUUCUGCAGAGCUCUUCUGGGCUUUGCUCCUCAAGGGAUUCUUAUUUUUUUUCCUAUAGUUGAAAUUAAUUAGCCUGGAGGCACGACUGGCCUCUUCACCCUGGAGAAAACUGGAUGCUCUCUCAGGAGUGCUCGACCUCACAAAGUGCCUUGUGAGCCUCAGGACGGGGCGUUUGCACCCAUCUUUCAUUCUGAUGGGGACACCCCCAGGUCCAGCACCCCAUCUGAGCUGGUCCCCAUGCUGGGGACAGGUGGUUUGGGUGCUCUGGUCGCUGCUGGAUGGUCCCUUCUCUCCCAGAGCAGGUGGCCUGGGGACUUCUCCUCAUUCCCAGCCAUGAAGUGAACGCUACGGGUGGAUGGUUCUCCUCCUUGGGUCUUGUUUGUGGACCUGCUUCUGCAGCAAAGGGCUUUCCUGGCUGGGGCAGGGGGUGUCUCCUUGGAGUUACCUCCUCUCAGUGGAGAAUAGAAGGGCAAUCAGGAGUCUCACGUUGUGUCCCACGGUGUGAGCAGUCCCUGAGCUGUCCUGCAUCUAUUUCUGGGGCAAAUCCAAAAAUAAUGGGAGAGUGAGCUGGCUUGUGGCUUGACCAUCUUGGCCAGUGCCUGCCCUCCCUGCUCGGGCAGACGGUGCAGCGGAGAUCAGUCCUGGGGAGAAAAUGGGGAUCUAAAAGCGCCACCAGCAACGGGACCUCUCUCAGCCUGGGAUUUCACGUUGCAAUUAAAGCACUAAAGGAAGCAGAGCAGUUUGGGCGGAAUAAACCAGAUUUGAACCUCA